CGGCCGAUCUCUCGAUUCUCUCCCCCAUUUCUCUCGGUUCUUUCUCCCAUUCCCCAUUUCUCUAUCUCUCCCUCUCUCUAUGUGCAUGAGCGGCGGCCAAGCAGGGGCGGGAGGGGAGGUGCGGUGGGAUCGGACGGAUCUGGAGCCGUGGCACGGUGGCAACCAACGACGGGAGGAGAGGCGGUGGUGGCCUGAUGGCUGAGCCCUCCACCUCCGGCCACCGCUUACGCCACCACCCGUGGGCUCCGCCGCCUCUACUACCACCCGCACCUCCGCCUACACCUCCACCGGCCCAAGCUUGCAUGCGUCGGCCGGAUUUGGAGCUCCUCGGCGGAUCCGGGCCCGAACCGCCAGAUCUGACAGUGGUGAUGAUUUUUUUUUAUUUUGUUUUGUGCCCAAUGAUUGUGAAUGUGAAGUAAUUUUGUUCUUUGACUAGAUGAACGUGGUUGUGAUAUUUCUUGUGAUUCUGUUUUGUGUUUAAAUGAUUGUAAAUGUGAUUAUUUUUUGUGAUUUAUGAAUGCCUAAUGAAAGUCUAUGACUAGCUAUGCUUAUAAUUUUUUUACUGUCAUGUAUCUGUGUAUUCAGA
This 586-nucleotide long non-coding RNA is filed under the name Oryza brachyantha (malo sina). RNAcentral's name for it is "long non-coding RNA (OBRA_LNC001362)". The record is from RNAcentral. Lineage: Eukaryota; Viridiplantae; Streptophyta; Magnoliopsida; Poales; Poaceae.